Molecule: ribosomal RNA, 253 nt
Filed under: uncultured bacterium
Lineage: Bacteria
Description: partial 16S ribosomal RNA
Rfam family: Bacterial small subunit ribosomal RNA
Source: RNAcentral
UACAGAGGGGGCAAGCGUUAUUCGGAAUUAUUGGGCGUAAAGGGCGCGCAGGCGGCCUGGCAAGUGGAAGGUGAAAUCCCUCGGCUUAACCGAGGAACUGCCCUCCAAACUGCUUGGCUUGAGUCCGGGAGAGGUGAGUGGAAUUCCCAGUGUAGCGGUGAAAUGCGUAGAUAUUGGGAGGAACACCAGUGGCGAAGGCGGCUCACUGGACCGGAACUGACGCUGAGGCGCGAAAGCGUGGGGAGCAAACGGG